UGGAUUAGUUUAGAUAAAUGAGAAGGUGAAAGCAUGAGUGUGAUUAAAUGUAAUCGCGGACUCCGACCACUGUCGCCAAAGAGGGUCGCUGCCUCUAGGGUAGAGCUGGACGCUCAGCCUUGUCUCGCCGCCGCCGGGAGGAAGGCGAUCGGUCCCUCUUCGUUGUCUGUUGACAGGCGGAUUCGAGGCGGACUACAACGACGCCUUGAAGCGUGCACGAAAGCCCAGAAUCGAUCCAAUGUCCUCCAGCUAAAUCUUGUGCAAUUGGUUACUGAUAAGGAAACAAAUCAACCAAGAGGAUAUGCCUUCAUUGAAUAUGUGCAUACACGUGAAAUGACAACUGCAUACGAGCAAGCUGAUGGGAGGAAGCUUGGUAAUAGAUGAGUUCUUGUGGACGUGGAACGGGGAAGAACUGUACCGAAUUUGCGGCCUCGAAGGUUUAGGUGGUGGGCUUGGUACAAUCAGGACAGGGGGUGAGGAAGUUGGGCAGAAGCAUUCCACCAGCAGGGAUCAACAACAACUUGCAUCAGCUCAUUCUAGAUCAGAGGAGCUGAUUCACAAGGGAGAGAGAUCCUAGGAUCAUGGCUAUAUGCAAGUGGUACGAAGAGCCAAGAAAUCAAGAGCAUGAACGUGGCUACAACACUAUGAUCAUCCUCUGCCCCAAAACCUUACUGACUCUGACAACUUGGAGCGGUUAAGGAGACAUGAGACAAAUGCUUACGAGUAGGUGUUCCAUUACAAGUCUCAGCCUGAUUACUGUUAAAAUAUUAAUAUGGGUUAUCCAAUCUUGAUCAACGCGAGAAGGGUGAGGCAGUAGGAGAUGCUGUCAACUUGAUGUAUGGGAUGUGAAUGUUAGUAUAAUUGAGAUUCAACCGCAUUCACAAGUAUUCUGUGCUAUGAUGAAUGGAUCAAACUCCUGACUCCAUCUCUGCUGUGCUGUAACGUGGACUCGUGUUUUGAGUUUGUAUUUUCUUGGACUUAGUUUGUGUUGCACAAAGAGGCAGUAAUAUCUCUCAACUUUUAAUGUAGAAGAAGAGGAGGAAGAGAGAUCGUGUGGAGUAAUAAGAUAAAGAUGAAUAAAAGGAGCAAAUAUGAGAAAGGAGAAAAAAAAAAGUGUUAAUGGU
Molecule: RNA transcript, 1124 nt
Organism: Zingiber officinale
Lineage: Eukaryota; Viridiplantae; Streptophyta; Magnoliopsida; Zingiberales; Zingiberaceae
Exons: 5
Source: RefSeq, a predicted model, not a curated record